GGUCCCCUGCCCCCGGCGUGCUCUCCCUGGCUGCUCUUUCUUUGCGUGAAAAUCCCUCCCCCAGCUCCGGCUUCUCUCCCAGCUUCUCCAGCCUCAGUCCCGCCGCAUUUCAGCUCUAGCUUAGCACCCCAAAUUCUGCCCCCUGCUCCGCCCCGCACCCAACAUUCUACCCUCGCUCCACCUCGCAUCCCACAUUCUACUCCCAACCUCAGCUUUGAACCCUAAAUUUCUCUUCCCAGCUCCACCUCUACACCCCAGCUUUCCUCUUGCCACAUCCCCAAGCCUCCACGAAGCUGGGGGGCCCUUUCUCCCACCCGUUCAUCAGCAGGAUGUACCCCCAGGGAAGGCACCCGACUCCAUUGCAGUCCGGCCAGCCUUUUAAGUUCUCAGUCCUAGAAAUCUGUGACCGAAUCAAAGAGGAAUUCCAGUUUCUCCAAGCUCAAUACCACAGCCUCAAGCUGGAGUGUGAAAAGCUGGCCAGCGAGAAGACAGAGAUGCAAAGGCAUUACGUGAUGUACUACGAGAUGUCUUAUGGCCUGAACAUUGAGAUGCAUAAACAGGCUGAGAUCGUGAAGCGGCUCAGUGCAAUCUGUGCCCAGAUGGUCCCGUUCCUCACACAGGAGCAUCAGCAGCAGGUUCUCCAGGCUGUGGACCGAGCCAAGCAGGUGACCGUGGGGGAACUGAACAGCCUCCUGGGGCAGCAGAAUCAGCUCCAGCCGCUGUCUCACGCCACCCCUGCACCUCUCACCCCACGCCCAGCUGGCUUGGUGGGCACUGGGGCUUCGGGGCUGCUGGCCCUGUCUGGGGCGCUGGCUGCGCAGGCCCAGCUGGCAGCUGCAGCCAAGGAAGAACGCGUGGGUGUGGACGCCGAGGGGUCCAGAGUGGACAGAGCUGCAAGCAGGAGUGCUUCCCCUUCGCCCCCUGAGAGUCUGGUGGAAGAGGAGAAUUCUAGCAGCCGAGGUGGCAAUGGGAAGCAGCAGAGAACAGAAGAUAAGGAUCUUUCGGGGCCUUAUGAAAGUGAUGAAGAGAAGAGUGACUAUAACUUGGUGGUGGAUGAGGACCAACCCUCAGAGCCACCCAGCCCUGCAACCACCCCCUGUGGAAAGACGCCCGUCUGCAUCCCUGCCCGCAGGGACCUCGCGGACAGCCCAGCCUCCUUGGCCUCCAGUUUGGGCUCACCAGUCCCCAGAAGCAAAGACCUAGCCCUGAAUGAUCUCCCCACAGGCACUCCUGCCUGUAGAUCAUGUGGUCCCUCUCCACCCCAGGACGCGUCCACCCCAGGACCCAGUUCUGCCGGUCACCUCUGUCAGUUGGUGGCUCAACCAGCACCAUCCACAGACAGCAUUGCCCUGAGGAGUCCCCUGACCCUGUCCAGCCCCUUCACCUCGUCCUUCAGCCUGGGCUCCCACAGCACCCUCAACGGGGACCUCUCCAUGCCCAGCUCCUACGUCAGCCUCCACCUGUCCCCCCAGGUCAGCAGCUCUGUCGUGUACGGACGCUCACCCCUGAUGGCAUUUGAGUCACACCCACAUCUCCGAGGCUCGUCCAUCUCCUUGCCUGGCAUCCCUGGGGCAAAGCCGGCCUACUCCUUCCACGUGUCUGCGGAUGGCCAGAUGCAGCCGGUGCCCUUUCCAUCGGAUGCGCUGGUGGGCACGGGCAUCCCUCGCCACGCGCGGCAGCUACACACACUGGCCCACGGUGAGGUGGUGUGUGCCGUCACGAUCAGCGGCUCCACACAGCACGUGUACACGGGUGGCAAAGGUUGCGUGAAGGUGUGGGACGUGGGCCAGCCGGGCAGCAAGACACCAGUGGCUCAGCUGGAUUGCCUGAACCGCGAUAACUACAUCCGCUCCUGCAAGCUGCUGCCAGACGGGCAGAGCCUGAUAGUGGGCGGCGAAGCCAGCACCCUGUCCAUCUGGGACCUGGCAGCACCCACACCACGAAUUAAGGCGGAACUGACCUCUUCCGCCCCGGCCUGCUAUGCACUGGCUGUCAGCCCCGACGCCAAAGUCUGCUUCUCCUGCUGCAGCGAUGGCAACAUCGUGGUCUGGGACCUGCAGAACCAGGCCAUGGUCAGGCAAUUCCAGGGCCAUACGGACGGGGCCAGCUGCAUAGACAUAUCGGACUAUGGGACCCGGCUGUGGACUGGGGGCCUGGAUAAUACAGUGCGCUGUUGGGACCUGCGGGAGGGCCGCCAGCUUCAGCAGCAUGACUUCAGUUCCCAGAUUUUCUCGCUGGGCCACUGUCCUAACCAGGACUGGCUGGCCGUGGGGAUGGAGAGCAGCCACGUGGAGGUCCUACACGUGCGCAAACCUGAGAAGUACCAGUUACGCCUGCAUGAGAGCUGCGUGUUGUCGCUCAAGUUCGCUUCCUGCGGACGCUGGUUUGUUAGUACAGGCAAGGACAACUUGCUCAAUGCCUGGAGGACACCCUAUGGGGCCAGCAUUUUCCAGGAGUGUGCUGGCCCUCAUCUAUAAUUCCAUCACUGAGGAGGCUGAGGCAGGAGAACUGUCAUGAAUUCUAGACCAGCCUGGGUAUAUAGUGAACUGGCCUCAGAAAGGAGUGGGGAGACCAAAGCCGGCCACAGUGACUCAAAACUGUCAUCCCAGCUACUCAGGAGGCUAAGGGGCUUCCGAAAUGGAUCAGCACUUCCGGAAGGUUCCUGUGGUGCAAAGAAAGAAGCUGACCCAGCUGGCUGGUGACUUACCCGCCAUGUCUGCAUCGGGGUCUCCUGCUCACCUGGGUCUCACAUUGGAGCUGGCUGAUGUCUUUUUGGGAAAUACCAAGCAGAUCCAAGGAAGUCUCACUCAGGAUAGGGGCUGUGUGAGACAGCAGAAUUUAGGGGGACCCAGCAACCUCUGCCCCUCCACGCCCCAGGCCCCGCCUUCCUACAGAAGUCACUCAGGCUGCCUCUGGGCUUGGGCUCAGACUCCGGUUCUUGUUCUGAGUCUCGCAGGCAGGAGUCUUUGUUUUCCUGGGAGACAGAAUUGGGUCAGCUAGGGGACACGUGACCCAGGGGAACCCAGCAGAUGCCUGGGGGUCCAGGGCUGCACCCAGCAGAGUGCAGGGAUGAAGUGGGAGGGGCACUGUAGGGCAGAUGUGUGUUGGGGGUCCCAGCCAAGGGUACUCACCAGUCCCAGCAGCUCCUCUGUCGGUCGCCAUGACAACAGGUGAGGAGGAAGAGAUGGAGAGCAAUGAGGUUUGCCUGGACACCCAAGACACCCCCCCCCCCCCGCCCCCUAGUGAGGGGCCCUCACCCUCCUGUGCCUGUUGGUUCUCUGGGUUUUCCCUGAAAAGUUUCCAGAGUUCCUGGGUCAGGGUAUCGCUCCAGAACUUGGGUUCCUUGUCCCACACAGGCUGUGGGUCCUGCUGCUCCUCAGUCUCUGAGAGGCACUGAUGUCGGGUGAACAGCUGAGGUCCCGGGGUGGCCUUGAGUUCCUCAGGGUCCUGGGGGGCCGUGGUCUCUGGGCCCUGCUUGGCUUCUUUCUCAGUCGAAAUCUGUACAGCCUGGAAGGACCCAUGGGACCUCGUGAGUCACAAGACAACACCGCCAACCAGUAUCUGUCCCCUCCAGCUCAAGGGCACACAUUCACCUUGAUCAUCUCCAGGAUGCGGGGGGACUUGAAGAUCCCCACCAGCUCGAAGAAGUUUUCCACCUAGACCCUUACCCAGGAAUUCCAGGGCACCUAGGACCCGGGCAGGAAGAUGAGCCACUGUGAGGCAUAAGCACUCUGAAUCAACUCCCUCCUGUCUCCAACCCUGGGUGGCUCCACCUCCCUGGAGUCAAAGACCCUGGAAUCCUAUCUCCACCCCGCCACCCCUGCUCUGGUCCCCAGCUCCAGUUCACCUGCUUGUGAUGCUCCUCGAAGGACUGAUUGAUUUUGGAUAUCUGAAAUCACAGCAGAUGAGGAGUAGGUCUGUGACCCCCCCGAGCAAACCCUUCACCUCUAUGAUCCCGUUCCUUUACUUUUGAGACAACAGAGGCCCAUGGAGCCCCAGCCUGGCCUUGAACUCACUACAGCAGAGGCAAACAAUCCUCCCGCCUGCCUCCACACUUCCCUGGGCUGGGAUGACUGGUCUGUGCUGUUUAGCUCUGCUUUUAAAUAAAAUAUUACUUACUACAUCC
This is a non-coding RNA of Myodes glareolus (Bank vole), 4126 nucleotides long. The record is from RefSeq and is a predicted model, not a curated record. NCBI's taxonomy places the organism in Eukaryota, Metazoa, Chordata, Mammalia, Rodentia, Cricetidae.